ACCUGGCUGGCUCAGUUGGUAGAGCCUGUGACUCUUGAUCUCAAGGUCAUGAGUUCAAGCCCCAUGUUAGGCA
Molecule: transfer RNA, 73 nt
Filed under: Ailuropoda melanoleuca (giant panda)
Lineage: Eukaryota; Metazoa; Chordata; Mammalia; Carnivora; Ursidae
Rfam family: tRNA
About the family: Transfer RNA (tRNA) molecules are approximately 80 nucleotides in length. Their secondary structure includes four short double-helical elements and three loops (D, anti-codon, and T loops).
Source: Rfam by way of RNAcentral